RNAcentral lists this transfer RNA (74 nucleotides) under Minisyncoccota bacterium. RNAcentral's name for it is "tRNA-Trp". It matches the Rfam family "tRNA". Rfam says of the family: Transfer RNA (tRNA) molecules are approximately 80 nucleotides in length. Their secondary structure includes four short double-helical elements and three loops (D, anti-codon, and T loops). Further hydrogen bonds mediate the characteristic L-shaped molecular structure. tRNAs have two regions of fundamental functional importance: the anti-codon, which is responsible for specific mRNA codon recognition, and the 3' end, to which the tRNAs corresponding amino acid is attached (by aminoacyl-tRNA synthetases). tRNAs cope with the degeneracy of the genetic code in two manners: having more than one tRNA (with a specific anti-codon) for a particular amino acid; and 'wobble' base-pairing, i.e. permitting non-standard base-pairing at the 3rd anti-codon position. The record is from RNAcentral. Lineage: Bacteria; Bacillati; Minisyncoccota.
GGGGGAUUCGUUCAGUGGCAGGACGUCGGUCUCCAAAACCGAUAACGAGGGUUCGAUUCCUUCAUCCCCCGCCA